Non-coding RNA from Myodes glareolus (Bank vole), 1383 nucleotides. The record is from RefSeq and is a predicted model, not a curated record. NCBI's taxonomy places the organism in Eukaryota, Metazoa, Chordata, Mammalia, Rodentia, Cricetidae.
CUGGAAUAUGGAUUUUCUUUAGGAGACUACAGAAAAUUUUAAGAUUCCCUCUGCCCAGAUUGAGUGAAGAUGAAGUUAAAUUACAGAAUUUGACCACAUUGGGAACAUUGCUUAACUCCCCUAUUUUGACAUUUUCAGGCUGUAAAAAUGGUAUGAAAACAGAUCCUCUUGAGAAACCUGCAGUUUCGUGCAAAGUCUUAGGCAGUAACUGCACACGAUGGGGCUGGCUGUUAGUGGUUGUGACAUCUGCAGUUCUGUUCAGAGCCUUAAGUGGUAAAUGCACACAGUGGGGCUGGCUGUGAGCUGUUGUGAUUAUGGGAACAGCAAAGCUGCCAGCCUGGGUGUCUAGGCUGGAAUGGUUGCUUGCAGCUGGACCUUGGCAGGCCAGCUGGGGUUAAAAUGGUUCAGGGAGGUGGAUGUUCCAGAUCUCACUAGGCAGUUCUAGAAAAAUACUUUUGCUAAAAGGAGGUUGUGAGGGGUGUGGAAACAGUUGUAAUCUCCUGGAGGUCUUGGUGUGUACCCUGAAAUCAUAUAGGCUUGUCAGGCCUAGACACAGGUUUCAGGGAAUGCCCUGCAAAGACCAUUCAUCUGGCAAAGAGAAUUCAUUAUUGGGGCCAGAGUCAUUAUCUUUAUUUUUGUAAUGUCCUCAUUUAUAAGGUGUAAAGAGAAGGACUGAAGAAGGCUCCAAUAAGGAAAUGGAUGUGUGCACCAGAACAGGUUUGGGGCUGGUGUAUGUAAGCAGAGGGAGCAUGUGUUUUAUUUGAACAUAAAAAGGACUUCUUAAAGCUGGAUUCCCUCAUAUAAACACACUGGGCAACCUGAGAUGACAGUAGACUCCCUGGAGAAAACACUGGAGCAGAGUCACAACAGAAGGGAGCACUCAGGACUGUGGUACAUGGCAGGGUAGACCAAGGAUGUCGCUUAAGGCAAUGGAGAAAAGGCCAGGGAAGAGAGAACUGGAUAGCUAGAGGAGAGGACUACAAGGAUGCUUAUGGGGGAUGAUCACAACCCAGGCAAGUGUGUGGUUUUAUUUACUUUCUUCCUAUCACCUUCUGAUGCAGUAAGAAUGACCCUUGUGCUAUAGCUGAGAUGGAAGAUCGUCCGGCCAGAGCUACAGAGCAUUGCCUCCAAGUCUGUUCUCUUUCUCUACCAUUCAGUCAAGUGAGAAAAGUAGAGGAGGAAAGCAGUGGGCAGUUGGUAUGGACUCUGAGAGCCUCAGUUCCAGGAGCUACAACAUGAUGAAGAGACCACCCCCCCAAACUGUUCUGGUAACUGACUGGGAGCAAGCAUUAGACAGCAAAUGGAUCAUCAGCAUCUCUAGAGAUGAACUGUUAUUGAUGUCAGUUUUCUUUUUUAAUAAAUAAAUAAAUUAAUUAAAAAAUU